CUAGACAAACACAUACACACACACAAUCCCCACCCCCAUUCUUCCCCAGCCCAACUAUUCACCUUCAUCGCUCCUUGCUUCACCCCACACUUUGUCUUCUUCUCUGAUCAUCCAAUCAUCCAUCGAUUGACUGUUGCUUAACUAAACCUCCCACAAUUGGCGUUUCUGGUUCCUACUUCUUUUGAUACCUCCAUGGCCUUUGAUGUCCGGUGGCCCCAUCUGAAAAUCUUUCUUCAUCCUCACCAGAUUUCAAGUCGGAAGCCUUUCUUCAGGAAACUGCUUCAGUGGUUACCACAUAGGUUUAAUCGACUUCAUUCACUUGGCGUUUUGCCUAAUUUUCAUUUUCGACUUGUUGAAGCAACAAUCUCCGAUUUCUUACAAUGCAUAUGAUAAUUUUGGAGGAAAGCUUCAAUCAAUUCCCUUCAAGAUUCCGCAAGUACCGAGUAGUUUAAGAAGUUUAAGAAUCAACAAGUUUGUGAUUCCAUUCACAGGAUACAUCCAUUGGACUAAUUUGUGAUUCCAUUCGCAAGAAGAUGCCAUUAAAGAGCAAUAAUGACGAGGUGUUGGCUGAUGGUAGUGAAUUGAACAUAUCACAUCUGGUAUCACUUUUGGUGAUGGAGAUGGUUUUCAGCAAGGACUAAGGAGGAUGAGAGAUUGAAAGUGGGUGACGAAUUUGAGAACAAUAUAUCUUUAUGUGUGUAUCUGAGUUCCAUUCUAAACCAAUGAACUUUCUCUAUUUCUUUUUCAAUCCCUGUCAUCGUGUAUUUACAUUUUAUUUGUUUGUGUUAGUGUGUAUCUGGAUUUGUGUGUGCUUGCAUCUGGAUCUAUAUUUGUGUUAGAGUGUUAACUCAGA
Molecule: long non-coding RNA, 853 nt
Organism: Lactuca sativa (garden lettuce)
Lineage: Eukaryota; Viridiplantae; Streptophyta; Magnoliopsida; Asterales; Asteraceae
Source: RefSeq, a predicted model, not a curated record